GCGAAAGUGGCGGAACUGGCAGACGCGCAAGGCUCAGGACCUUGUGAGGGCAACCUCAUGGGGGUUCAAAUCCCCCCUUUCGCACCA
RNAcentral lists this transfer RNA (87 nucleotides) under Terriglobia bacterium. Its description in RNAcentral is "tRNA-Leu". It matches the Rfam family "tRNA". From Rfam's summary of the family: Transfer RNA (tRNA) molecules are approximately 80 nucleotides in length. Their secondary structure includes four short double-helical elements and three loops (D, anti-codon, and T loops). Further hydrogen bonds mediate the characteristic L-shaped molecular structure. tRNAs have two regions of fundamental functional importance: the anti-codon, which is responsible for specific mRNA codon recognition, and the 3' end, to which the tRNAs corresponding amino acid is attached (by aminoacyl-tRNA synthetases). tRNAs cope with the degeneracy of the genetic code in two manners: having more than one tRNA (with a specific anti-codon) for a particular amino acid; and 'wobble' base-pairing, i.e. permitting non-standard base-pairing at the 3rd anti-codon position. The record is from RNAcentral. RNAcentral also lists the same sequence under 3 other names. Lineage: Bacteria; Pseudomonadati; Acidobacteriota; Terriglobia.